AUAUCAAUAAGCGGAGGAAAAGAAACUAACAAGGAUUCCCCUAGUAACGGCGAGUGAAGCGGGAAAAGCUCAAAUUUAAAAUCUGCAGCCUCCGGGUUGUCGAAUUGUAGUCUAGAGAGGCAUUUUCGGAACCAGCCCCGGUCUAAGUUUCCUUGGAACAGGGCAUCACAGAGGGUGAGAAUCCCGUAGACGGCUGGGACGCUGGUUCCUUACGUAAUGUUCUCAACGAGUCGAGUUGUUUGGGAUUGCAGCUCCAAAUGGGUGGUAAAUUUCAUCUAAAGCUAAAUAUUGGCGAGAGACCGAUAGCGCACAAGUA
RNAcentral lists this ribosomal RNA (316 nucleotides) under uncultured Apusomonas. RNAcentral describes it as "partial large subunit ribosomal RNA". It matches the Rfam family "Eukaryotic large subunit ribosomal RNA", at positions 40 to 350 of the family's 3401-position model. Lineage: Eukaryota; Apusomonadida; Apusomonadidae. The record is from RNAcentral.